Molecule: ribosomal RNA, 301 nt
Filed under: uncultured bacterium
Lineage: Bacteria
Description: partial 16S ribosomal RNA
Rfam family: Bacterial small subunit ribosomal RNA
Source: RNAcentral
CAGUCGCCGCGGUAAUACGAACCGUGCGAACGUUAUUCGGAAUUACUGGGCUUAAAGCGCGUGUAGGUGGGAAGGUACGUCUGUCGCUGAAAUCCCCCGGCUCAACCGGGGAACGGGCGUGGAUACGGCCAUCCUUGAGGAACGUAGGGGGACCUGGAACUUCCGGUGGAGCGGUGAAAUGCGUUGAGAUCGGAAGGAACGCCCGUGGCGAAAGCGAGGUCCUGGACGUUUUCUGACGCUGAAACGCGAAAGCUAGGGGAGCGAACGGGAUUAGAGACCCCAGUAGUCCCUGUCUCUUAUU